Molecule: ribosomal RNA, 445 nt
Filed under: uncultured bacterium
Lineage: Bacteria
Description: partial 16S ribosomal RNA
Rfam family: Bacterial small subunit ribosomal RNA
Source: RNAcentral
GUAGGGAAUAUUGGGCAAUGGAUGCAAGUCUGACCCAGCCAUCCCGCGUGCCGGAAGAAGGCCCUCAGGGUUGUAAACGGCUUUUGACGGUGAAGAAUCGACAGGAUGCGUCCUGUUUUGACGGUAGCCGUUGAAUAAGCACCGGCUAACUCCGUGCCAGCAGCCGCGGUAAUACGGAGGGUGCGAGCGUUGUCCGGAUUUAUUGGGUUUAAAGGGUGCGUAGGCUGGAAGGUCAGUCAGCGGUGAAAAGCUGUCGCUUAACGAUAGUCUUGCCGCAGAUACUUCCUUUCUUGGAUGAGGAGGAGGCCACUGGAACGGAUGGUGUAGCGGUGAAAUGCAUAGAUAUCAUCCAGAACACCGAUUGCGAAGGCAGGUGGCUGUACCUUAAUCGACGCUGAUGCACGAAAGCAUGGGGAGCAAACAGGAUUAGGAACCCGGGUAGUCC